AAGCCCCAGAAGAGGUUCAAGGGGGAAGAAGCUGAGCUUCCAGACAAACACCAGGGAGUCGCUGAGGCCCUCAGACCAACGGCCUGCAAGUAGCUGAAGCCUGCAGUGACAAUAACAAGCCUCGAACAGAAAUGACCCAUCUGCAGGGCAUUGCUGUGUGGCUGAGCAGCUCAGGGCCUCCAGGCAUCCUGGCAGCACCAAGCCCAAGCCCCACAGACCGGGCAACCCAGGAAUUGAGUCGGGUGAUUUAAGGGAACAGCUGUUGGAAACAGAACAGGCCGGCUGCCUGGGUGCUAUGAGUGGAUCCCUCGAUGCAGGAACACGCUCAGUCAGGAGCGGCCCGCCUUCCACUCAGCUAAGCACCCCUUGGUACAGGUCUGCGAGGAACUGCAAGGGACCCGGACCGCACAUGUGCAGCUAUUCCUACCUGGCCUUUCAUUCGCUCCUGGAAACGGGCAGCUCGGCUGGGAGGACAUUCUCACCAGGCACGUAUGAGAAGGGAGAGGAUCCCGCCACUUCACAAUCCUACUGUGCUUCAAAUUCCGAUGUGAGACAGAAGAGGCACAGUUCCGAUGUAGCCACUUAGUAUGUGAAUUACGUAUGAUCUUUAUACCGGAGACUCCUCUCCGUGCCUAACUGCUGGAAAGGGCACAAUAAAAACACAUUCACAGCCCUACAGAAAUAGCAGCAGCCAUUAAAGUCGCACUACUGAUUAAAGACAAUCUCAUAAUUGAAUGUGAUUACUUUGGUCUCCUUGCAGCACGAUGAUCCCGUCUUACCCUGAGGAAAACAUUCUGAGACGCCGAGCAGAUGCCUGGAACCUCAGAUAGCACCAAGUCCUGUUUAGGCUCUGCUUUUUCCUAUAUAUGCAUGCCUGUCAUAAAUUUAAUUCAUAAAUUAGGCACCACAAGAGGUUACCAACAACUAAUAAUAAAAUAGGACAAUUAUAAUAGUAUAUGAUAAUAAAAUUUUUUAAUUUCUAAAUUAUGUCCUGAAUUGUGAUGGUUACCUGCAGGUAACCAAAAAGCAUCUCCCAGUGAUACAAAAAUACAUAUUUUUGUUUGCUUACAACUACUGAUAACAGCAGGAAAUACCUCAGCAGGACGUCAUCACAGAGGACAGAGCCUCUGAGGGGAGGCUCCGCAGCGACUUCAGCGACAAGGCCUCCAGCCCGGGCUUGCCUGUGGGCUCCGGCCCUGUGUUUCUCGGAUCUCCGAGCCGCAGAACUCUGAGAAGAUCUUCGGGAUGCAACGCUCACCACCCUGCAGAGCGGCCUGACCGACCGAGGCAGGCAGUUACCGCAGCCCGGCGCACCUCUGCCAGCGAAAACCCAGUCAACGCAGGCCUCAGAAGCAGGCGGUGCUCUGUGCACGCGUGCACUCUCCAGCCAGAAAUGAAACAUCUUCGAAUCGUCCCGGGGCAAGCUGGGGUGGGGGCGCUUCCCAGCUCACUCCAGAACUCUUCUUACCGAUUUUGGCAAAUUUUCCCCUCCAGAAUGAAACUGCCUUCCACCGCAGAGGGCACCUGGGAGGAAAUAGGCUUUGCCACAGCGCCAUCUAGUGGUACCUGAAGAGAAUUCAAAAGUUUUUUUGUUAUGUGGUGGUUUUGUGGGGUUUUCUCAUUUUUCCUUUUUUCUUUACCCUCAGUGAAAAGGAGGAAGGGAGCGUUUGGGACCCUGGGGCGUGGACGUUAAUGACGGCAGUGCAGACCCUGCCACCGCUCAUUCUGGGCGGGACCGGCACCCACCAGAGCAGGUUGAGAUGGGGAGGCACCAGCCACACCAACACCCAGGGCUGGGCCAGCACACGCCCACGUCCAGUCUAACAAUACACGGGCGAAUGACCCGAACAGACCCUUCUCAAGAGAAGAACAAACGGCCCCUAAGUGUAUGAAAAAAUGUUCAAUGUCUCCAACCAUCACAGAAAUGCAAAUCAAAAUUACACCGCCAUCCUAUCUCUCCCCAGUCAGAAAGGCUGUCAUCGAAAGACAAAAGGGAAAAAGAACCCCUUAUGCUGCUGCUGGGAAUGCAAGGAAUGUAAACAGUGUGGUCCCAGAAAAUCAGUAAGGAGCGUCCUCAAAAGCUGAAAACAGAGCCACUGUUUCAUCCAGCUACACAACUCUCAAGAUAGCCCUGCAAAAGUAGUCAGCAAGCUACAGAGACACCCACAUAACCGUGUUUAUCGCAGCACAAUUCACAACAGCUAAGCUAUGGAAAUAGCUUAUGUGCCUGCCAACUGGUGAAUGGAUAAAAAAAUGUGAUAUAUAUUCAUACAAUGGAGUAUUAUUCAGCCACGAAGAAGGAUGAAAUCAUGUCAUUUGCAGGAAAAUGGAUGGAAUUGGAGGCCAUCAUGUUAAGCAAAAUAAACCAGAGUCUGAAAGACAAAAAUCACAUGUUUUCUCUCAUAUGUGGAAGCUUUUCAAAAAGCCAACAGGAAAGCAGAAGGGAGGCUACUAGAGAAGCUGGAGGAGGGCAGCAGGGACGAUGCGUGUCCCCAGACCCGCCACCAGUCCCUCCAGCUGAGGCAGCUGUUUGCUGGAUCAGUUUUCCUUCUCCAAAUUCAGAAGCUACACACAGUUCAUGCUGGCUUUAAGGAUGUCAUUUAAUAUAGUCACAUGUAGUUCAGUAAUUUUCAAGGGUCUGACUGUAAGGAUUUUAUAUAAAGUAUGCUUCAGGUUUUGCUUCUUGGUUUGGUGUUUUGCUUUUGGUUUUGUGUCCACUUGGAGCGGUGAGCUACAUCUCUGGCCCUUUUUUACUUUUAUUGUGAGGCAGGGUGCCAAGUCAUCAGGCUGCACACACUGGGCUCGAACUUGCAGUGCCCCUGCCUCAGCCUCCCGGAAUGCUGGGAUGACAGGUGCGCGCCACCCCCGGGUAGUUCAGCGAUUUGGAAGGGACACUAUCUGGUCUGGAUGGGGGAUGUGUGCAGUCAAGCGCACCAUCCUUCCAACGUCAAAUACCGCACAGGCGAGGGGUGGCAGGACGCAGCGAGAUGACGGGUGGCUCCACUCCUAGUAUCUCACUCCUCUUUUUCUCCAAGAGAAACGUAAAUUUCAUUUUAUAAUUUUGGUUUCAAUUUUUCUAAACUCAGUGCCGCCGGGACAAUGGCGCUCUGUGGAUGCCCGGGCCACAGCUCUCUAAUCGGCUGCUCUCUUACUUAGCUGCUGCUUUCCCUUUCCACCCUGCCCAGAGGACUCCCUUACGGGUCCGCUCUUCCGCUGCGUUUGCUGCCCCUCUGUACUCUUCCCCCAUUUCCAGGCGGCUCGUUGAUCUCUUGUUCUUGCUCCGUGCUGCCUUCCGGUGCUGGGGAUGGAACCCAGGCCUUGCGCAUCCCAACGAAGGGCUGCACCCCCAAGCUCCAGCCCUGGGGCACUCGGCUCCUUGCCUCAGUUUCUUGGCCGUCCUGUUUCACCUAUCUGUCCCUCUAGUUCUGCCUUGGGCUUUAUGCUGUCCCAUCCGUGCUCUAAUGGAGUGACACCCUUGGGUGUCUGAUCUCUGAGUCCGUGAGCUUCUUCCUUAGGAGUCUGGGGAAAGCAGAGCAUCAGGCUCCCUCCACUUCAACCCCAGAGCCUCUGGUGUGGGCCGAGCAACCUCCCAUCCCUGCCCCAGACAUCCCACCUCCAAGCUCCUCUAGGCCACAGCCUUGGGAUGGGCGUGUGGUGGGGAAGGGCAGGAAGCCCCUCCUCUCUUGUUUCCUGUCUGUGAUGCCUGACAUCCUGGCCCUCCCCUCCUGGGGGCUCCUGGGGGCCGUGCUGUUGCUCCUGGUCCCCCAAGGAAGCAGCAGGCAGGGACUGUCCCACCGCAGCCCAGGGCAGAGGCAGGAGCCAGGCCAGCAAGCUCUAUGCCCCUGAGGUUCGAGUUUCCAGCAGCCUCUCUUCCCUCCUUUGUGGGGCUGCUCUCUCAGGAGGCCAGCAGCACAGCCGCCACCUUCCCAUCCGCACUACCGCCUCCUCUCCAGGCUCCGCUCCAGAUGGCAAGGUGCAGCUGCAGAAGGAAAGGGCUCCUUGAGAAAUUAGAGAAACAAGCACCUAAAGGCAGCGGAAAUGAUUUCUAGAAAAACGUGACCUUGCCAAACCCACCACAACCCCCAGGAUUACGGAAUUGAGGAUCCAUGGAAGAAAAUGAGACCCAAGGGUGCUUCUUCUAAUCCAGGUCCGGGUGUCCCCAAACUGGAGCCCUCGAAGCCUUCACAGUCAGCGUGGUGCAGGAAAUGACCUGAUUUGCUGCAGAGAUGACUCGUUUUGGAUUUGAGGGUACCAGGAAGAUGCAAACACUGCAAGUACAUGAAGCAAAAUGGAUAGCACGAAAUAGUUUCAGUCCUUGAUAGAU
Molecule: non-coding RNA, 4324 nt
Organism: Heterocephalus glaber (naked mole-rat)
Lineage: Eukaryota; Metazoa; Chordata; Mammalia; Rodentia; Bathyergidae
Source: RefSeq, a predicted model, not a curated record